RNA transcript from Lotus japonicus, 2217 nucleotides. It is a transcript of the gene named FBD-associated F-box protein At4g10400-like, with no coding region annotated. The record is from RefSeq and is a predicted model, not a curated record. The transcript is spliced from 6 exons. NCBI's taxonomy places the organism in Eukaryota, Viridiplantae, Streptophyta, Magnoliopsida, Fabales, Fabaceae.
UGAGUGGGUGUUUUCGUUUGGCAGAAUAAGGGUUCAGCACACAGUCUCCUCCGUCACCCAUCGUCGCUCUCUGUCGUGUCGUUCACGCGCAACUCUAACGGAGUGUGAUCUCAUAUUCACUGCAUUGAGCCAAUCGAAGUAGCAUCUCUCUUUCAUUCCUUAAUUUCAAGGAAGCACCAUCCUUGCAGCUCUAGACAUUAUCAAUUAAGAUGGAGCCAAAGUGGAAAAGAGAAAUGCUUAAUGAAAGAGAAGAAAAAGUGGAUAGACUAAGCAUGUUGCCUGACUCCAUUUUGUUGUACAUUAUGACAUCUUUGACAACAAAAGAAGCUGUUCAUACUUGUAUCUUGGGCAAAAGAUGGAAGCACCUCUGGAAAUAUCUUCCAACUUUGAUAGCUAGUAAUGAACAUUUUGAGAGGGCUGAAUUUUUCAAGAGGUUUAUUUGUAAGGUUUUGCAGCAUCGUGAUGAUCACAGUGCCUUCCAUAAUAUUGCUAUUGAUCAUAAUGGUUAUAUUCAUUCUCAAAUUUCGGAGAAGAUCGUCAGUUAUGCUGUAUCACAUAGUGUCAAGCAAUUUACAUUUGAUGCCUGCUUACGAAGUAAGGGUGCAAGAAAUGCUCUGGUUUUUGGCCCUAUAUUUUCCAUUCGCUCUCUAAAAUAUCUUGACGUAUCAUUUCGCAAAUCCAAUUGGUUGAUAAAGCUUCCACAUGCUCUAGACCUUCCGGAGUUGGAGAAAUGUCGUUUGAAAUAUGUUGCAUUUUCUUCAAAUGAUGAUGAUGAUGAUGAUGAUGAUUUUGUGAAGCCAUUUUCACUCUGCAAGAAGUUGAGUACUUUAGUGAUUGACAAUUGCAACAGUGCAAAGGCCCUUUGUGUAUCUGGUGAUAAACUCACUAAUCUAACCAUGCGUUUUGGUAAAUAUAUUCUUGAUCCUUUCAAAGCUCAGGUUUCUGCUCCCAAUCUGAAGUCAUUUACUUUUGUGGGUCGUCUUAGUUCCAGAAAUAACCAUCAACUCUUUGAGCACAAUUUAGAUUUUCUUGAAGAAGCAUGCAUUGAAGCUUUGUGCUUUAGAUCUCAUCUGAAGAUUUGUGAAAGGACUUUGAAUAGUUGGAUGAAAAGGUUUUGUAAUGUACGCUCAUUGACAAUUUGUGCCAAAACUCUAAAGGAUCUUGCUUCAACCCUUGGUCUUCCGAAUUUUGAACCUGCUCGUUUUGCCAACUUAAGGUCAUUGAUAGUGAAACAUGAUUGUGGAAUACCUGUACUGGAUCAAGAAUUGGAAUACAUACUGCAAAACUCUCCACUUGCAGAAACUAUGAUCAUUCAAGCGACACCAUCCUAUCAAGAAAUGUUUGAGUUGCUGUAAAUAAUCCUUUGUUGAUGAUAAACUGAAAACAUAGCUAAGAUUUUUGCAGUUGAUCAAGCUUAAAUUGAGAAAGUGCUACAAAUAACUGACCAUGAGUGAAGACAAGUCUUGGAAGAAAAAGUCAGACUUAAGACAAUGUUUGUCUUAACUUUUGUUUAUGGUGAUUGCAAAGGACGCUGGAAUUGGAAAUUGUAUUCUCUGAAAUUUAAAUAAAAGUUGGGGAUAUGAAAGAUGUAUAGUUUGUCCCCAAUCUUUGUUUAUGUUAUAACGGUUGCUCUAAUAAUAUUUUUUCCAUAUUCAUAGGAAAUGCAUAAAAACCAAGUAGUAAAUUAUAGGGAAUCAUAGGAAAAAUCAUGCAAAUUAUGUGUGAAUCAUCAUCACCACCACAAUAACCUCCACUGUCGCCUUCAUCACCGAUGCUAGCACCACCGUCGCCGCCACCCUCCAACACCACCGUCUCCACCAUUGCCACCAUUUGGUAACAACAAUCUCUACAACCACUGCUACCUACCCCCUCCAUUAUCUUGUUGGUGCCUACUACUUAUUGUCAUGGAUUUACAAAGUUGAUAAUUGUUAUGUCUAUUGUAGAUUUAUAAUGUUGUCAACAACUUUUUAAAACGAUUUUUAAAAACGGGAAAAUUGAGUAAAGAGGGUGGGGAAUUGAAGGACUUGCAACCAGAUUGAUCCAUUGAUUUUAAAAUUCGAAGGCUUGGAUUAAAUUAAAGAGAGAGAUUAUUCUAUUAGGCUCAGGUGAAGCGGUUGGAGAGGAUCCAAAUCCGGAAUUUAAUUCGUUUUUGGCUCUAACACACGCAACCCCUCCUUAAGUGGGCUCGUACAGGUUUCGCUCACAUUAAGCCACUCA